This 189-nucleotide small nuclear RNA is filed under the name Leptobrachium leishanense (Leishan spiny toad). Its description in RNAcentral is "U2 spliceosomal RNA (ENSLLEG00000010353.1)". It matches the Rfam family "U2 spliceosomal RNA". From Rfam's summary of the family: U2 is a small nuclear RNA (snRNA) component of the spliceosome (involved in pre-mRNA splicing). Lineage: Eukaryota; Metazoa; Chordata; Amphibia; Anura; Megophryidae. The record is from Rfam by way of RNAcentral.
AUCGCUUCUCGGCCUUUUGGCUAAGAUCAAGUGUAGUAUCUGUUCUUAUCAGUUUAAUAUCUGAUACGCCCCCCUAUCUGGGGGCCAUAUAUUAAAUGGAUUUUUAGAACAGGGAGAUGGAAGAGCUUGCUCUGUCCACUCCACGCAUUGACCUGGUAUUGCAGUACCUCCAGGACCGGUGCACAAAAA